RNAcentral lists this long non-coding RNA (290 nucleotides) under Cricetulus griseus (Chinese hamster). RNAcentral describes it as "lncRNA (ENSCGRG00015033033.1)". The record is from RNAcentral. Lineage: Eukaryota; Metazoa; Chordata; Mammalia; Rodentia; Cricetidae.
AUUUCCCAGUGUCUCAGAUCACUUCCUGUUGCCUUCGGAUUAAGAUGUAGAACGCUCAGCUACUUCUCAAGCACCAUGUCUGCCUGCAUGCCAUCGUGUUCCAACAUGAUGAUAAAGGGCUAAACCUCUGAAAAUCUAUUUCAAGUUGAGUGGUCCACAAGGGUGUGGCCUGUCUUAUUCCAUGUUGGAAUCAGGAAGAUGCAAGCUGCUGUAGGAGCCAAGAUUGCUGUGUUAGAGUCAGUGGAUGAAGAAGCAGAAUGGCUGCAGUAGGUCAGAUGGUGGAUCUAUCC